CCUACGGGUGGCAGCAGUGAGGAAUAUUGGUCAAUGGGCGCGAGCCUGACCCAGCCAAGUAGCGUGAAGGAUGACUGCCCUACGGGUUGUAAACUUCUUUUAUAAGGGAGUAAAGUGAGGCACGUGUGCCUUUUUGUAUGUACUUUAUGAAUAAGGAUCGGCUAACUCCGUGCCAGCAGCCGCGGUAAUACGGAGGAUCCGAGCGUUAUCCGGAUUUAUUGGGUGUAAAGGGAGCGUAGAUGGGUUGUUAAGUCAGUUGUGAAAGUUCGCGGCUCAACCGUAAAAUUGCAAUUGAUACUGGCAGUCUUGAGUACAGGUGAGGUAGGCGGAAUUCGUGGUGUAGCGGUGAAAUGCUUAGAUAUCCCGAAGAACUCCGAUUGCGAAGGCAGAUUACUAGACUGCCACUGACAUUGAUGCUCGAAAGUGUGGGUAUCAAACAGGAUUAGAUACCCCAGUAGUC
Molecule: ribosomal RNA, 460 nt
Filed under: uncultured bacterium
Lineage: Bacteria
Description: partial 16S ribosomal RNA
Rfam family: Bacterial small subunit ribosomal RNA
Source: RNAcentral